This 467-nucleotide ribosomal RNA is filed under the name uncultured bacterium. RNAcentral describes it as "partial 16S ribosomal RNA". It matches the Rfam family "Bacterial small subunit ribosomal RNA", at positions 28 to 506 of the family's 1533-position model. The record is from RNAcentral.
GACGAACGCUGGCGGCGUGCUUAACACAUGCAAGUCGAACGGAAAGGCCCUGCUUUUGUGGGGUGCUCGAGUGGCGAACGAGUGAGUAACACGUGAGUAACCUGCCCUUGACUUUGGGAUAACUUCAGGAAACUGGGGCUAAUACCGGAUAGGAGCUCCUGCUGCAUGGUGGGGGUUGGAAAGUUUCGGCGGUUGGGGAUGGACUCGCGGCUUAUCAGCUUGUUGGUGGGGUAGUGGCUUACCAAGGCUUUGACGGGUAGCCGGCCUGAGAGGGUGACCGGCCACAUUGGGACUGAGAUACGGCCCAGACUCCUACAGGAGGCAGCAGUGGGGAAUAUUGCACAAUGGGCGGAAGCCUGAUGCAGCAACGCCGCGUGCGGGAUGACGGCCUUCGGGUUGUAAACCGCUUUCGCCUGUGACGAAGCGUGAGUGACGGUAAUGGGUAAAGAAGCACCGGCUAACUACGU